CGCGGCCUAUCAGCUUGUUGGUGGGGUGAUGGCCCACCAAGGCGACGACGGGUAGCCGGCCUGAGAGGGCGACCGGCCACACUGGGACUGAGACACGGCCCAGACUCCUACGGGAGGCAGCAGUGGGGAAUAUUGCGCAAUGGGCGGAAGCCUGACGCAGCGACGCCGCGUGGGGGAUGACGGCCUUCGGGUUGUAAACCUCUUUCGCCAGGGACGAAGCGCAAGUGACGGUACCUGGAUAAGAAGCACCGGCCAACUACGUGCCAGCAGCCGCGGUAAUACGUAGGGUGCGAGCGUUGUCCGGAAUUAUUGGGCGUAAAGAGCUCGUAGGCGGUCUGUCGCGUCGGUCGUGAAAACUUGGGGCUUAACCCUGAGCUUGCGGUCGAUACGGGCAUGACUGGAGUUCGGCAGGGGAGACUGGAAUUCCUGGUGUAGCGGUGAAAUGCGCAGAUAUCAGGAGGAACACCGGUGGCGAAGGCGGGUCUCUGGGCCGAUACUGACGCUGAGGAGCGAAAGCGUGGGGAGCGAACAGGAUUAGAUACCCUGGUAGUCCACGCCGUAAACGGUGGGCGCUAGGUGUGGGGGCCAUUCCACGGUCUCUGUGCCGCAGCUAACGCAUUAAGCGCCCCGCCUGGGGAGUCGG
Molecule: ribosomal RNA, 643 nt
Filed under: uncultured bacterium
Lineage: Bacteria
Description: bacterial SSU rRNA
Rfam family: Bacterial small subunit ribosomal RNA
Source: RNAcentral